GAGAGAUGGCUGAGUGGUUGAUAGCCCCGGUAUUGUCAAAUGGU
RNAcentral lists this transfer RNA (44 nucleotides) under Myoxanthus punctatus. RNAcentral describes it as "partial tRNA-Ser". The record is from RNAcentral. Lineage: Eukaryota; Viridiplantae; Streptophyta; Magnoliopsida; Asparagales; Orchidaceae.